UUUAGGGAGACCAUCUGACUGUAGACCGAACCUAAACUAUAGGUCAAAGUCAGUCAUCCCUGGUCGUUCGAGAUAGUCAUGUCAAAGCUUUCAAACUAUUAACUGGUUUGGUAAAUGGGCUAUUAGCUCAGUUGGUUAGAGCGCACCCCUGAUAAGGGUGAGGUCCCUGGUUUAAAUCCAGGAUGGCCCACCUGAACAUUAAAGAUGUGUAAUUAAACACGACAAGUAUUUAGUUACAACUUUUUAAUCACAAGUGGGGGUAUAGCUCAGUUGGUAGAGCGCCUGCCUUGCACGCAGGAAGUCAGCGGUUCGAGUCCGCUUACCUCCACUCUCACUCACUGACUCAUACUGGCUCAACCAAAAACAGUAAUUAACUACACACCAUUAACUGAGAAUACAGAAAUCAGCACCUAGAUUAGCUAAAAGCUCAUCAGAAUGCUGGAGUCUAGACUCUAGUCAGAACCUUGAAAACUGCAUAGAAAUUAAGUCAUCAAAGCAGGUAAGUCUUCCGAGCAAUCGGAAUAUCUGAUCAGACCAUCAAAAAAAGAAAGU
RNAcentral lists this transfer RNA (552 nucleotides) under uncultured cyanobacterium. RNAcentral's name for it is "16S-23S ribosomal RNA intergenic spacer". The stretch from base 256 to 328 matches the Rfam family "tRNA". The record is from RNAcentral. Lineage: Bacteria; Bacillati; Cyanobacteriota.